UACGUAGGGAGCAAGCGUUGUCCGGAAUCAUUGGGCGUAAAGCGCGCGUAGGCGGCCCUGUAAGUCCGUUGUGAAAGUCAAAGGCUCAACCUUUGAAAGCCGAUGGAUACUGCAGGGCUAGAGUCCGGAAGAGGCGAGUGGAAUUCCUGGUGUAGCGGUGGAAUGCGCAGAUAUCAGGAGGAACACCGGUGGCGAAGGCGGGUCUCUGGGCAGGAACUGACGCUGAGGAGCGAAAGCGUAGGGAGCGAACAGG
Molecule: ribosomal RNA, 253 nt
Filed under: uncultured bacterium
Lineage: Bacteria
Description: partial 16S ribosomal RNA
Rfam family: Bacterial small subunit ribosomal RNA
Source: RNAcentral